UCAUCAUGCCCCUUAUGUUCUGGGCUACACACGUGCUACAAUGGCCGGUACAGACGGACGCAAAGCCGCGAGGUGGAGCAAAUCCUAAAAAGCCGGUCUCAGUUCGGAUUGCAGGCUGCAAUUCGCCUGCAUGAAGUCGGAAUCGCUAGUAAUCGCAGGUCAGCAUACUGCGGUGAAUACGUUCCCGGGCCUU
Molecule: ribosomal RNA, 193 nt
Filed under: uncultured Bacillus sp.
Lineage: Bacteria; Bacillati; Bacillota; Bacilli; Caryophanales; Bacillaceae
Description: partial 16S ribosomal RNA
Rfam family: Bacterial small subunit ribosomal RNA
Source: RNAcentral